GAUGAAGAACGUAGCGAAAUGCGAUAAGUAGUGUGAAUUGCAGAAUUCAGUGAAUCAUCGAAUCUUUGAACGCACAUUGCGCCCCUUGGUAUCCCGAGGGGCAUGCCUGUUCGAGCGUCAUUUCACCACUCAAGCCUGGCUUGGUGUUGGGCGACGUCCUCUUUGGGGACGCGCCUCGAAACGCUCGUCGGCGUGGCACCGGCUUUAAGCGUAGCAGAAUCUUUCGCUUUGGAAGUCGGGGCCCCGUCUGCCGGAAGACCUGCUCGCAAGGUUGACCUCGGAUCAGGCAGGGAUACCCGCUGAACUUAAGCAUAUCAAUAAGCGGAGGA
This 329-nucleotide unclassified non-coding RNA is filed under the name soil metagenome. RNAcentral's name for it is "partial contains 5.8S ribosomal RNA, internal transcribed spacer 2, and large subunit ribosomal RNA". The stretch from base 1 to 120 matches the Rfam family "5.8S ribosomal RNA", at positions 35 to 154 of the family's 154-position model. The record is from RNAcentral.